Molecule: ribosomal RNA, 314 nt
Filed under: uncultured bacterium
Lineage: Bacteria
Description: bacterial SSU rRNA
Rfam family: Bacterial small subunit ribosomal RNA
Source: RNAcentral
GAUGAACGCUAGCUACAGGCUUAACACAUGCAAGUCGAGGGGCAUCAUGGCGGUCGCUUGCGACCGCUGAUGGCGACCGGCGCACGGGUGCGUAACGCGUAUCGAACCUGCCGCAUACCCGGGGAUAGCCUUGCGAAAGCAAGAUUAAUACCCGAUGUUCUCACUGUUCCGCAUGUUACGGUGAGCAAAGAAUUUCGGUAUGCGAUGGCGAUGCGUCCCAUUAGCUAGUUGGCGGGGUAACGGCCCACCAAGGCAUCGAUGGAUAGGGGUUCUGAGAGGAAGGUCCCCCACAUUGGAACUGAGACACGGUCCAA